CCUGGUUCCGCGCUCUGCCAUCCAGGCUCCGCAGGCUGCGCUUUUUGUACAACAAAAAAAAAAGGUGGGGGGUUUGGGCAACUAGUACAUUUAUUUUCCAAGCGCUUUGCUGGUUUAAGCGAGCGUGAGCUGUGAAUAAACAAAGUCAGUAAACAAGAAAAAAAAAACCCAAGCAGAUUCCAGGAGGGUAAACUUCCAACAGCAGCAGCAGCACAUCACUCUCUUUAGCAAAUGCACUCACUUAUUCUAUUCACUUCCCCGCACUCCGCACUCAUUCUGCCACCCACAAUUUUAUACAGAUCAUCAAUAUCUUCCUGCUGAAAUAUCAAAUACAAUGUUAUACAGAUGAUCAAUAUCUUCAGGGCUGAAAUAGCAAAUUUCGUAAUAGAGAAAUCUUUGCUUUUUGUGUGAGAGUCAACAGUGACUUCAAUAAAUCCGGUGAUUCAGCAGCUGGGAAAGCCGGGAGCCACGGAAUCAGCAGCAGCAGACUUGACAAUCCAUUUCUGUGCUUGAGCUGCUGGGAGAUAAGAGCCUGGAUUAAACAAUUUCUCCGGCCUUGGUUGAAAGGAUGUGGACUGAGGCUGUCCCUAUUGGUCUGCAGGACAAUGCAUCUGGCACCCCUGGAAUGGUACCCAGGGCCCUAAAAUAUCUGGAUGGAAGUGUGAUGCUGUCUCACAUGGUAUUGGGUUACUGGAAUGAAUUUGUAGACGUCAUCAUAUUAUAACCUAAGCUUUAAGUGAUUAAACUUAUAUUUUGUAUAUGUUUACACUGAGGACAUACUGGACAUAGCUGUUUAUCCCUAAUGUUGUAUUCCAUUAUAUUUACCUAAAAGUGUGCCUGUGUGUUUAUGUUACAGAAUAACCAAUUCUUAAGCAACUUUACAAUUGGUAUUCAUUAUUUCUUUUUUUAUAGUUUUUUUAAUUAUUUGCCUUCUUCU
Xenopus laevis (African clawed frog) is the source of this 937-nucleotide long non-coding RNA. RefSeq lists it as uncharacterized. The record is from RefSeq and is a predicted model, not a curated record. NCBI's taxonomy places the organism in Eukaryota, Metazoa, Chordata, Amphibia, Anura, Pipidae. The transcript has 4 exons.